Molecule: long non-coding RNA, 450 nt
Organism: Neoarius graeffei (lesser salmon catfish)
Lineage: Eukaryota; Metazoa; Chordata; Actinopteri; Siluriformes; Ariidae
Exons: 3
Source: RefSeq, a predicted model, not a curated record
AAAGAAAAAAAAAUAAUGUAUGGAAGUCAACGGAGAGAUAACUUAUUUUAUAGUUCAGAUUCCCUUAUGCAUUGGAUUUAAUACAUGAUGAUUAACUUUUAUGACAACCCUUCACACCAACAAAGUGUUGUUUUUCAACAGACAGUAAAAAUGGUUCUUGAAUCUACACAGGAAGGCUACACUGAAUGAAGGCUCCAAGUGCAUUUAGGCAUUGGACUUUGCACAAGUGAAGUGUUCAGAAAAGGUCCUGUCAAUUUGGUUCCGUCAGAGGAAGGAAACAGCUGAUAAAGUUUGAUUUUUGGCUGGGCUAUGCCAUUAAGAUAUUUUUAAAACUUAAAUUUAUUUAUUAUUGUUGUUAUUUACUUUCAGUUAAAUUUAACUUUGAAGUGAUCGCUCAUAUUUUGUAUCCAAGCCAGUUUGUCGUCAUAUUUUUUUCUAAAUAAAGCAAGA